CCAAUAGCGUAUAUUAAGGUUGCUGCGGUUAAAAAGCUCGUAGUUGAAUUUCGGGAUUGAUGCAUCGGUCGUGCCUUAAGGGGUAUGAACUGGUGUGGUCAAUUUCUUACCUUCUGGUGAAUUGUGAUGUCCUCCUUAAUUGGGUGUUUCAAUGAACUAGGAAUUUUUACUUUGAAAAAAUUAGAGUGUUUAAAGCAGGCAUUAUUUGCUUGAAUACAUUAGCAUGGAAUAAUAAAAUAGGACAAUGAUUCUAUUUUGUUGGUUUCUAGGAUCACUGUAAUGAUUAAUAGGGAUAGUUGGGGGCAUUAGUAUUCAAUUGUCAGAGGUGAAAUUCUUGGAUUAAUUGAAGACUAACUACUGCGAAAGCAUUUGCCAAGGAUAUUUUCAUUAAUCAAGAACGAAAGUUAGGGGAUCGAAGACGAUUAGGUACGUCGUAGUCUUAACCAUAAACUAUGCCGACUAGGAAUCAGACAACGUUAAAUUUUUAAUGACUUGUUUGGCACCUUACG
RNAcentral lists this ribosomal RNA (509 nucleotides) under uncultured Glomeromycotina. Its description in RNAcentral is "partial small subunit ribosomal RNA". It matches the Rfam family "Eukaryotic small subunit ribosomal RNA", at positions 591 to 1092 of the family's 1831-position model. Lineage: Eukaryota; Fungi; Glomeromycota. The record is from RNAcentral.